GAUCGACCUCAAAUCAGGUAGGACUACCCGCUGAACUUAAGCAUAUCAAUAAA
This 53-nucleotide ribosomal RNA is filed under the name Clavaria flavipes. Its description in RNAcentral is "partial large subunit ribosomal RNA". Lineage: Eukaryota; Fungi; Basidiomycota; Agaricomycetes; Agaricales; Clavariaceae. The record is from RNAcentral.